CGGAUGUUCUAUAACGGCUGUCA
RNAcentral lists this non-coding RNA (23 nucleotides) under Arabidopsis thaliana (thale cress). Lineage: Eukaryota; Viridiplantae; Streptophyta; Magnoliopsida; Brassicales; Brassicaceae. The record is from RNAcentral.